Molecule: ribosomal RNA, 468 nt
Filed under: uncultured bacterium
Lineage: Bacteria
Description: partial 16S ribosomal RNA
Rfam family: Bacterial small subunit ribosomal RNA
Source: RNAcentral
GACGAACGCUGGCGGCGUGCUUAACACAUGCAAGUCGAACGGAAAGGCCCUGCUUUUGUGGGGUGCUCGAGUGGCGAACGGGUGAGUAACACGUGAGUAACCUGCCCUUUACUUUGGGAUAACUUCAGGAAACUGGGGCUAAUACCGGAUAUGAGCUCCUGCUGCAUGGUGGGGGUUGGAAAGGUUCGGCGGUUGGGGAUGGACUCGCGGCUUAUCAGCUUGUUGGUGGGGUAGUGGCUUACGAAGGCUUUGACGGGUAGCCGGCCUGAGAGGGUGACCGGCCACAUUGGGACUGAGAUACGGCCCAGACUACUACGGGAGGCAGCAGUGGGGAAUAUUGCACAAUGGGCGGAAGCCUGAUGCAGCAACGCCGCGUGCGGGAUGACGGCCUUCGGGUUGUAAACCGCUUUCGCCUGUGACGAAGCGUGAGUGACGGUAAUGGGUAAAGAAGCACCGGCUAACUACGUG